UACAGAGGUCCCGAGCGUUGUUCGGAUUCACUGGGCGUAAAGGGUGCGUAGGUGGUGAGGUAAGUCGGAUGUGAAAUCUCCAGGCUCAACCUGGAAACUGCAUUGGAAACUACCUUGCUGGAGGAUUUGAGGGGGGAUUGGAAUACUUGGUGUAGCAGUGAAAUGCGUAGAUAUCAAGUGGAACACCAGUGGCGAAGGCGGCUUUCUGGGCCUUACCUGACGCUGAGACGCGAAAGCGUGGGGAGCGAACCGG
Molecule: ribosomal RNA, 253 nt
Filed under: uncultured bacterium
Lineage: Bacteria
Description: partial 16S ribosomal RNA
Rfam family: Bacterial small subunit ribosomal RNA
Source: RNAcentral